AGAUGGCGCCACAAGGGAGACUGUUGCU
RNAcentral lists this small RNA (28 nucleotides) under Bombyx mori (domestic silkworm). RNAcentral describes it as "ovarian small RNA-11973". The record is from RNAcentral. Lineage: Eukaryota; Metazoa; Arthropoda; Insecta; Lepidoptera; Bombycidae.